Molecule: long non-coding RNA, 266 nt
Filed under: Carica papaya (papaya)
Lineage: Eukaryota; Viridiplantae; Streptophyta; Magnoliopsida; Brassicales; Caricaceae
Description: long non-coding RNA (CPAP_LNC006447)
Source: RNAcentral
AAAAAGGCCGCAUCAUUCAGUAUCUACGCACAUUCAGAGAUUUUUGCGGAGAAGACGAGCCAAGCCAACUUCGAACUGUUUUUUUAGUCAAUUUCGAGCCGUUUUAGAGACGAGUAUGAACCGUUUUAGAGCCUAAUCCAAAUCGUUUUAGAACCAAAUCUAAGUUGUUUUAAAGUCGAGUCGAGCCAUUUUGAGCCAAGUCGAGCCGUUUUAGAGUCGAGUCAAGCCGUUUUGAGUCGAACUGAGCCAUUUUGAGUCGAGUCAAG